AAAGACUUAGAUGCCAGGAGUAUCAGAUCCCUUCUGGGGUGAUGGGGGAAAUGGUCCGUUUCUAAGGGCAGUACACCCUGAGAUAUUUCAGGGCCCCAUAAACUUCUCCCAUCUCUAUUCCUACCACAUCAGAAGCUCCUGAUGCCCCCAUCCUGAAAUGGGGAAUUACAGAAAAUUGCCUGAAUCUGUUGCCUCCAGAGGAGUCUCAGAAGAGGCCAACCGUCAUACCAGAAACAUGGUCUACAAGCUUUAGCUCCAGCAUCAGAAAGCAAUCAUGGAGAGUGAAUUUGGAGAAAUCAAUAAAAAUUGGCUGAACCC
Molecule: long non-coding RNA, 318 nt
Organism: Mastomys coucha (southern multimammate mouse)
Lineage: Eukaryota; Metazoa; Chordata; Mammalia; Rodentia; Muridae
Exons: 2
Source: RefSeq, a predicted model, not a curated record